RNAcentral lists this ribosomal RNA (485 nucleotides) under uncultured bacterium. Its description in RNAcentral is "bacterial SSU rRNA". It matches the Rfam family "Bacterial small subunit ribosomal RNA", at positions 30 to 518 of the family's 1533-position model. The record is from RNAcentral.
AUUGAACGCUGGCGGCAUGCCUUACACAUGCAAGUCGAACGGUAACAGGUCUUCGGAUGCUGACGAGUGGCGAACGGGUGAGUAAUACAUCGGAACGUGCCCGAUCGUGGGGGAUAACGCAGCGAAAGCUGUGCUAAUACCGCAUACGAUCUACGGAUGAAAGCGGGGGAUCGCAAGACCUCGCGCGGACGGAGCGGCCGAUGGCAGAUUAGGUAGUUGGUGGGAUAAAAGCUUACCAAGCCGACGAUCUGUAGCUGGUCUGAGAGGACGACCAGCCACACUGGGACUGAGACACGGCCCAGACUCCUACGGGAGGCAGCAGUGGGGAAUUUUGGACAAUGGGCGCAAGCCUGAUCCAGCCAUGCCGCGUGCAGGAUGAAGGCCUUCGGUUGUAAACUGCUUUGUACGACGAAAAGUUCUCUCUAUAAAGGGGCGAAUGACGGUACCGUAAGAAUAAGCACCGGCUAACUACGUCCAGCAGCCGC